CUGGGCUUCAUCUCUGAGGAACUACCUCCAUUCCUCUUCCCUAGGCUCGCUCUUGGAAGCGACCUGCCGCAGGCGCGCAAUUGAUGCUCGCCCUUCCUCUCUCUCUCUCUCUCUCUCUCUGCGAAGCAUCCGAGCCUUGGGUGCGUGGGAGGGGCGGGCCGAAAUAUCGCGGGUCCUUCUUGGAAAAUUAGCCCGGCACCAAGGAUGGGAAGAAAGAAAAAAGAAAAGAGAAAGUUUCACGCACGCACAUCCAUCGUUGACUAAUCUAUUAUGACAAACAAUAUGAUGGAUAUAGCUUAUGUUAAUCGUCCUGGCCUUUCCUCUAGAAUUUAACUGUCAGUUAAUGGACACCGGAAACUGGAAUUCUACAUGGCUCGCUAAUGGGUUUAGGUAUUAGCUAGUUCUAACGAUGCAUACAAAUGCACUUGUCUCUGUGGGCUGCCUUAAGAUUUAUGGCUCUCUUUUGCCUUCGGUAGCUGUAAACAAGGAGAGGAAAACAGAGGAAAGAUAUCCCAGCUUUGCCGCACUUUCUGCCGCUUAAGGAGCUCUUUCGCCAGAUUUGAUUUCCUCCGGAGUUCUUGGACAAGAUCCAAAGCCGUCCGGAGUUUUCGGACCACGCGGCCCGUUGGGGUUGGUGAAAGGAGACGAAGGAAGCCGGUAGUACCGCCCGAGGAAAGAAUAUGUGGAUGGGUUGUUUUGUUUUUGUUUUGUUUUUAAAACCCUGACCUGGCAAACUGGAUAGAACGAUUCACAAUUGGAGACGCGCGCGGAGGUGUGGCGUUUGUGUUUCUGUUUCUAGCAUUUGAUCAGGGCAAACCAACCCACGAAUAUCCUCUUCCUCGGAAAGUGGAAAAAUGUAUCAAGAAUGGAACAUUCCUGGGGGACUGGGGAUAGGGAACAAGGUGAAACAGAAUGGAAAGGGUAUAAAAUGCUUUGGGAGAUGUGCCACUCAUUCCAAGGGACUCUUGCUGCUUUGCAACAUUCACUUGGAGAUCCAUAACAUACUUAAAACUCCAAGUCAACCUUUUUCCUAUUUAUUACUGUGCAUAAUUCAACAUUAUUGCAGAUUAAUAAGCCAAUAAUGAUCAUCUCAAUAGGGAAAGUAUACUAGCCAGGCUGCUUUUAUGGCCACCCUUAUCUUUUCUAAUGACCUUUAAAGUAAUAACUCAUUACAAAAUGAGCAAUUGUCUGGAGUGCCUUUAAUUUUUCCUUUCUUUUUCUCUUUCUCUCUUACUUUCUUUGCUCUUCUUCCCUCCCUCCCGUUUACACACUCUGCUUUCAAGAUCUGCCCAGUAUACAUUUUAACUUAGUUUCCACCAAAAAAAAAGGAUAAUAAUUCAAAGGAGACCUUCUCCAGCUCUGUUUGCAACAGUGGUUAGAAGGACAAUUUUUCAAGCUUUCUUGACUGAGCCAGUCAUUUUAUGUGUCUCUCUAACAGCAACAACAAUGCUUUACUUCUACUGUGAUUAAAGAUCCUUGUAACGGCUCUCUUCAGAGAACUUUUAAUUGCUGUUUUAGACCAUAAGGGAGAUCAGAGAUGUUAAGUUGGAUUAUUGAUCUGGAACUCAGGGAGAUCCAAGGACAAGAUCCUACUCAGCCAUGGAACUUAAUUGGGUGAGCUGAAGCUAACCACUAAUGAUUUAGCAAGGAUGAAUUGGGGAAAGGUAUUUGAACUGAUAUAAAGAGUAUUGAGCCCUUCAUGCCAAGAUACAGAAGUAUUGCAUAAAUAAAGAAAUGUUUUUGUUGCAGAAAAUUAUGUGCCCAAUUUAAAUAAUGUGCAUUUUUAGUAGGAAAUAAAUCUCUUGGUACGGAGACAUUUCUUAAGGUGGGCUUAUUUAUAGCUGAAAUUGUAAAACUGUUUUCUAAGAUUUGCAAACUGAAUGGUUUCUUGGCAAAUACUGCCAUAUCUCAAUGGAAAUUGCAACAAGGAGUGGGCAUGAAUUUCUUUAAUCUCCUAGGUACUGUGUCUCUUUAAUGAAUUGCUUCCAACUGUAUUACUGGCAGCUUUUAAAGUAAAACAUAGCCAUCCUGCUUUAGAACUUUAGAUUUCAAUUGCCGUAUACAUACAUACAUACUGACUGACUGGAAAUCAGGCUAAUGUGUUUCUUGUACAUGUUUUGAAUGAAAGCAUGCUUUGAUUUUACCAGAUAUAGGCAUGAGGUUUGCUUCUAAUAGAUAUUUCAGAAUAGAGAUAGUAAUAAAUAGGAAGGGAAGAGAUCACUUUAGGCCUUCCCUAUCUGUAUAAUUUUGUAGGUUACCCAAUUGCAAAACAAAAACUAGAUUCAUUCAAUAGGCUAUCGGUAUGGAAGCCAUCCAUUAUUAUAUCCUUGCACCAUUCUCUCUAUAACCAAAUUGAAAAAACAAAACAAAACAUAAGGAACUCAGAAUAUGGCAACUGUUCCCAUAAUUUGCUUAGCAUUGGUUUCCCAAAUUGGGUUUUUUUUUUAAAAAAAAAAACCACAGGAAAAUUUGGAACCAUUACAGUAUGCAAGACAAUAGAAAAAUUCUUAUUAAUUAUGUGAUCCUGAGAUUAAAAACAAGUAUUUUAUCUUAAAACAUCUGUGAUGUUUUAGCAUCUGCAAAAGCAGACUUUUGCUCAACUGAAUUGCUUUGCUAACUUAAUUUGUGAUGCAAAUGAAAAUCAGAUGCAUAAAAUCUGUAGUUAGGAGGGUUAAACAUCCAGUUUGAAACGGUUGGAUCAGAGCAGGUGAAAAAUAUAUUUCAGUGGACUUGAACGUUUCCCAUAUCCGUGUGAAUUUGCUGCUACCCUAUUCUAUGAUGUGUGGAGUAAAAUAUUAAUCAUGAGAGGAUGAUCUAAUGUGCAGAGAUCGCUGUCCCAUAUACUGUAGCUGGAAUUGGCUGCAUAAUUCCAAGCAUCCUGUCAUGAAAUCCUUUGUUGUUGUUGUUGUUGUUUGAAAUAGGUAUAAUAAAAUGAAUCCAAAAAAAGCAAAGAUCUUGUUGCUGCUUUUUAAAGGUGGAGCACUUUCUGGUGGGGUGUAUAUGGUUACAUAGCAUGUUCAUGCAGCAAAGGUGUCAACUAAUGGAUAGCUCACCAAAGUAGCAUCAAUACUACUGCUAAAAGAGGACCAAUCCUAGGAAGUGCUGCAGAGUCUUUAAAAAUAACGCAAAGGUUGCUGUGGAUUUCAGAUGGAUACAACUAAAGAUCAAGUUGUUUGAGCCAUGCAGAAAAGCCAUAGAGAACUGCAGCCAUAUUUAAAAUGCAGAGGAGCUUUCACACCGACAGUAGAUUGAAGACUUAUUCUGUCACAUAAGCAUUUCAGAGCAAUCCUUCUCAUUCAGGAGAAUGAGUUUCACUAGUCAGCCCCCAAACUAUUCAGCCCAGGGUGUCUUCUUUCCCUGUGGUGGGCUGAUGAGGUUGAGGCAAGUCAACAUGAAUGAAUACUUGCGGGUGGA
This is a long non-coding RNA of Crotalus tigris (Tiger rattlesnake), 3414 nucleotides long. RefSeq lists it as uncharacterized. The record is from RefSeq and is a predicted model, not a curated record. The transcript has 3 exons. Lineage: Eukaryota; Metazoa; Chordata; Lepidosauria; Squamata; Viperidae.